CCUACGGGAGGCAGCAGUGGGGAAUAUUGCACAAUGGGCGAAAGCCUGAUGCAGCAACGCCGCGUGCGGGAAGAAGGCCCUAGGGUUGUAAACCGCUUUCAGCAGGGAAGAAAAUGACGGUACCUGCAGAAGAAGGUGCGGCCAACUACGUGCCAGCAGCCGCGGUGACACGUAGGCACCAAGCGUUGUCCGGAUUUAUUGGGCGUAAAGAGCUCGUAGGCGGUUCAGUAAGUCGGGUGUGAAAACUCUGGGCUCAACCCAGAGACGCCACCCGAUACUGCUGUGACUCGAGUGCGGUAGGGGAGCGGGGAAUUCCUAGUGUAGCGGUGAAAUGCGCAGAUAUUAGGAGGAACACCAGUGGCGAAGGCGCCGCUCUGGGCCGUAACUGACGCUGAGGAGCGAAAGCGUGGGUAGCAAACAGGAUUAGAUACCCUGGUAGUCCACGCCGUAAACGUUGGGCACUAGGUGUGGGUCUCAACCAACGAGAUCCGCGCCGUCGCUAACGCAUUAAGUGCCCCGCCUGGGGAGUACGGCCGCAAGGCUAAAACUCAAAGGAAUUGACGG
This 564-nucleotide ribosomal RNA is filed under the name uncultured bacterium. Its description in RNAcentral is "bacterial SSU rRNA". It matches the Rfam family "Bacterial small subunit ribosomal RNA", at positions 338 to 916 of the family's 1533-position model. The record is from RNAcentral.